Molecule: transfer RNA, 77 nt
Filed under: Paracoccus alkenifer
Lineage: Bacteria; Pseudomonadati; Pseudomonadota; Alphaproteobacteria; Rhodobacterales; Paracoccaceae
Description: tRNA_Met_CAT
Rfam family: tRNA
About the family: Transfer RNA (tRNA) molecules are approximately 80 nucleotides in length. Their secondary structure includes four short double-helical elements and three loops (D, anti-codon, and T loops).
Source: RNAcentral
CGCGGGGUAGAGCAGCCCGGUAGCUCGUCAGGCUCAUAACCUGAAGGUCAUAGGUUCAAAUUCUAUCCCCGCAACCA